Small nuclear RNA from Zingiber officinale, 101 nucleotides. NCBI's taxonomy places the organism in Eukaryota, Viridiplantae, Streptophyta, Magnoliopsida, Zingiberales, Zingiberaceae. The record is from RefSeq and is a predicted model, not a curated record.
ACUAUAAAUAAAGAGCAAUUAAAUUGGGACAGCACAAAGAAAAUUAGUAUGUCUCCUGAUCACGGAUGACUUGCAUAAAUUGAGAAAUUGUCCAAACUUUU